Molecule: ribosomal RNA, 405 nt
Filed under: uncultured bacterium
Lineage: Bacteria
Description: partial 16S ribosomal RNA
Rfam family: Bacterial small subunit ribosomal RNA
Source: RNAcentral
AUUGAACGCUAGCGGGAUGCUUUACACAUGCAAGUCGAACGAGUGGCGGACGGGCGAGCAAUAUAUCGGAACGUGCCCAGUAGCGGGGGAUAACUACUCGAAAGCGUGGCUAAUACUGCAAACUAUGGGAUCGGCCGUUACGGGUUUAGCUAGUUGGGGGGGUAAAGGCUCACCAAGGCAACGAUCCGUAGCUGGUUUGAGAGGACGACCGGCCACACUGGGACUGAGACACGGCCCAGACUCCUACGGGAGGCAGCAGUGGGGAAUUUUGGACAAUGGGGGAAACCCUGAUCCAGCCAUCCCGCGUGUAUGAGAAGGCCUUCGGGUUGUAAAGUACUUUUGGCAGAGAAGCGGUAUCUGCAGAAUAAGCACCGGCUAACUACGUGCCAGCAGCCGCGGUAAUAC